AUCUGAAUGAAGCCUGGAUCGUGAUCAACUCUUUGAUUUUUUUUAAUAUUCUUCUUUUAUUCUUCUUUUAUUUUUCUUUCCUUGAUUAUGAAGCAAUCGGAGACUAGAAACCAGCAAAUAAAGGGGAUGGCCAAACUCCUUUGGGCGUGGAAGAUGGAGGAUGCCCAACCCUUGGGCGUUGGCUCUUCAAGAAAGAAGAGAGGGGAGA
RNAcentral lists this long non-coding RNA (208 nucleotides) under Elaeis guineensis (African oil palm). Its description in RNAcentral is "long non-coding RNA (EGUI_LNC029460)". Lineage: Eukaryota; Viridiplantae; Streptophyta; Magnoliopsida; Arecales; Arecaceae. The record is from RNAcentral.